AUUGAACGCUGGCGGCAGGCCUAACACAUGCAAGUCGAACGGUAACAGGAAGAAGCUUGCUUCUUUGCUGACGAGUGGCGGACGGGUGAGUAAUGUCUGGGAAACUGCCUGAUGGAGGGGGAUAACUACUGGAAACGGUAGCUAAUACCGCAUAACGUCGCAAGACCAAAGAGGGGGACCUUCGGGCCUCUUGCCAUCGGAUGUGCCCAGAUGGGAUUAGCUAGUAGGUGGGGUAACGGCUCACCUAGGCGACGAUCCCUAGCUGGUCUGAGAGGAUGACCAGCCACACUGGAACUGAGACACGGUCCAGACUCCUACGGGAGGCAGCAGUGGGGAAUAUUGCACAAUGGGCGCAAGCCUGAUGCAGCCAUGCCGCGUGUAUGAAGAAGGCCUUCGGGUUGUAAAGUACUUUCAGCGGGGAGGAAGGGAGUAAAGUUAAUACCUUUGCUCAUUGACGUUACCCGCAGAAGAAGCACCGGCUAACUCCGUGCCAGCAGCCGCGGUAAUACGGAGGGUGCAAGCGUUAAUCGGAAUUACUGGGCGUAAAGCGCACGCAGGCGGUUUGUUAAGUCAGAUGUGAAAUCCCCGGGCUCAACCUGGGAACUGCAUCUGAUACUGGCAAGCUUGAGUCUCGUAGAGGGGGGUAUAAUUCCAGGUGUAGCGGUGAAAUGCGUAGAGAUCUGGAGGAAUACCCGGUGGCGAAAGCGGCCCCCUGGACAAGACUGACGCUCAAGGUGGGAAAGCGUGGGGAGCCAACUGGAUUAAGAUACCCUGGUAAUCCAAGGGGGAAUCCCCAGGGGAUUCGAGCCGUCGCUACCCCCCCCUGGGGUUGGGAACAAGAGAAAAAAUUAUGUACCUUUUCAGAGAAAAUAAA
This 874-nucleotide ribosomal RNA is filed under the name uncultured Enterobacteriaceae bacterium. Its description in RNAcentral is "bacterial SSU rRNA". It matches the Rfam family "Bacterial small subunit ribosomal RNA". Lineage: Bacteria; Pseudomonadati; Pseudomonadota; Gammaproteobacteria; Enterobacterales; Enterobacteriaceae. The record is from RNAcentral.